GCCUGGCUGGCUCAGUUGGCAGAGCAUGUGACUCUUGAUCUCAGGGUUGUGAGUUCAAGCCCCACAUUGGGUG
Molecule: transfer RNA, 73 nt
Filed under: Ailuropoda melanoleuca (giant panda)
Lineage: Eukaryota; Metazoa; Chordata; Mammalia; Carnivora; Ursidae
Rfam family: tRNA
About the family: Transfer RNA (tRNA) molecules are approximately 80 nucleotides in length.
Source: Rfam by way of RNAcentral